UUCGAAGCCUGACUCUCUCUCUCACUGGAAAACUUUCCUCAGUUUCAGUGAAGUGGAAUUAAUAAUAGUGCCCUUCUAACAGGCUCGUUAUGAGGAUGAAAUGAAUUAAUCCACAUAUAUCUUGGAGAAGAGUGCUCAUCUCAGAAGAAGCUCUUAAGCAAUGUUAUGGAGUCUCGCUGUGUCACCCAGGCUGGAGUGCACUGGCACGAUCUCGGCUCACUGCAACCUCUGCCUCCAGGGUUCAAGUGAUUCUACUGCCUCAGCCUCCCGAUCCCUCCCCAAAACGUGCCUUGAGCUGUCCAGAAGAGACAAACUGAAGCCCGGCGCUGGAAAGGAGGAAAAGAGAGAGGACCCCCUUCC
Symphalangus syndactylus (siamang) is the source of this 360-nucleotide long non-coding RNA. RefSeq lists it as uncharacterized. The record is from RefSeq and is a predicted model, not a curated record. NCBI's taxonomy places the organism in Eukaryota, Metazoa, Chordata, Mammalia, Primates, Hylobatidae.